GACGUAGGGCGCGAGCGUUGUCCGGAUUUAUUGGGCGUAAAGAGCUCGUAGGCGGCUUGUCGCGUCGACUGUGAAAUCCCGCGGCUCAACUGCGGGUCUGCAGUCGAUACGGGCAGGCUAGAGUUCGGUAGGGGAGACUGGAAUUCCUGGUGUAGCGGUGAAAUGCGCAGAUAUCAGGAGGAACACCUAUAGCGAAGGCAGCUUGCUGGGACGUUACUGACGCUAAGGCGCGAAAGCGUGGGGAGCGAACAGG
This 253-nucleotide ribosomal RNA is filed under the name uncultured bacterium. RNAcentral's name for it is "partial 16S ribosomal RNA". It matches the Rfam family "Bacterial small subunit ribosomal RNA", at positions 524 to 776 of the family's 1533-position model. The record is from RNAcentral.